AACUCUGACUAGGACUGUUAAGGCUUAGGAACUCCUGUUCAAUUUUAUUGAAAGGUUCAAAGGAGAACGAGGCUGUUGUAAUCCUUAAAGUGAACAUAAUACUGUGCAGCCAACUCUUGAUUAUUCAGAGAUCUGUUUUAGUGUGUAGAUUAGCCUUCCCUCCAGUGUUUUAUUUGUUGUCCAAUUUUUAUUCGUGUAUUUAUUUUGCCAUUUCACUGUUCAAGUAAGAAAGGUAGCUUAAGUGCAAAUUAGCCCAUUAAGCUAAUGUGGUGAAGAUUUGGUGGAAGAAAAGGCUAAUGGAUGAGGUUUUAGAAUAAUACAUGGAUUUUAACUAUGUAAGCCAUCCAUAUCUCCACAGACCAAAGAUAAUCAAGAUUUGGCUGUACUUUCACACUAUGGCUAAAUCAUAACUUAUUCAUUUAUCAAAAUUAUAGGCUAUAACAAAGUAGUUUUGUUAUAGAA
Molecule: long non-coding RNA, 462 nt
Filed under: Bos taurus (domestic cattle)
Lineage: Eukaryota; Metazoa; Chordata; Mammalia; Artiodactyla; Bovidae
Description: long non-coding RNA NONBTAT023659
Source: RNAcentral